RNAcentral lists this ribosomal RNA (253 nucleotides) under uncultured bacterium. RNAcentral describes it as "partial 16S ribosomal RNA". It matches the Rfam family "Bacterial small subunit ribosomal RNA", at positions 524 to 776 of the family's 1533-position model. The record is from RNAcentral.
GACGGAAGGUGCAAGCGUUGCUCGGAAUCACUGGGCGUAAAGGGUGCGUAGGCGGCCGUGCAAGUCUGGCGUGAAAGCCCCGGGCUCAGCCCGGGAAGUGCGCUCGAAACUGCGCGGCUCGAGUGCCGGAGGGGAGAGUGGAAUUCCUGGUGUAGCGGUGAAAUGCGUAGAUAUCAGGAGGAACACCUAUUGCGAAGGCAGCUCGCUGGGACGUUACUGACGCUGAGACGCGAAAGCGUGGGGAGCAAACAGG